GCCCUCCAGAUGUUUUGCGACUACAACCCCCAUCUUCCCUGACCACUGGUCCUGUAAGCUAGGGAUGAUGGGAGUUGUAGUCCCAAAACAUCUGGAGGGC
RNAcentral lists this microRNA precursor (100 nucleotides) under Podarcis lilfordi (Lilford's wall lizard). The record is from RNAcentral. Lineage: Eukaryota; Metazoa; Chordata; Lepidosauria; Squamata; Lacertidae.